Corvus moneduloides (New Caledonian crow) is the source of this 1859-nucleotide long non-coding RNA. Lineage: Eukaryota; Metazoa; Chordata; Aves; Passeriformes; Corvidae. The record is from Ensembl.
CUUGGAGUGCAUAUAGUGGGUCUUGUGUGUCACCUUGAUGUUUGCUCGUUUCUUGGUGCUUCUCCCCCUCUUGGGGCUGACCCCCGGCAGCCCUGGCUGGCUCUGGCUCUGCAGGUGACAACCGCAGAAGCUGCUUCGCUGCUGGACAUUACUCCGUUGUUCGGCAGAGGGGCUUUAGGACCACUCCGUUGCUCUGCUGCUUUCGGCCGGGUGCCAGGACUGCCUGUGUCUCCUUGGCCUGCCUGCGCCCUGCCCCCUGCGUUGGGCGGCUCUGCUUCUGCGUUGGCGGCCAUUUCUCUCUCAGACGUGGGAGGGGUAACUUCCUGCCCUGCCGAGUCCAGCAGCUCCCGCAGUGAGCGGACGGGUGCUGCUGUGCCUUUAAUCGGUCUUCUCGCGGCCAGCCCAAAGAACCGUGCUGCCCUGGACUCCUUAUUAAGGUUCAUGUUCCUGUGUGUAGAUGUAGAGAAGAAGCCACCUCCAACUCACAGUGAGUACCUGCUGAAAUUUGAUUUUGGAACGACUUUGGAAGCUUGGAGAUGGUACUUUGUAAGUAAAUCUUUUCUAAAGGGCCAUUCUAAUCUACCCAGUGGGGAUUGAAGGAACCUGUUAUAGAAAGCUGAUGAUAAAGUCCAAAUGAGGUCACUGUCAACUUCACUGUAGAUUUCAAACAAAGGGAAAUUACUAAAAAACGUUUAUUUAAUGUGUCUUUUUGAGACCAAAGGUACCAAUUAACAAGGAAGUAUUGCAAGUUAAGAGGCCUUUUUGCCGUCAAUAACUGUCAUACAAGAUACAUUAGUUCUCUUACAGUCACUCUGCCACUGGAAUUUUAUGCCUCCCAUAAAUUUAAGCAUGAAUUAUUGUGAGAGAAUCACACAAGGGCUCCUGCUAAAUAACAUGUGUUAUGGUUAAGACAAUAAUUUCUUUCGUGACCUGGUGAAAAUAAUGACAAGUAAAUGGUUGUCUUGUUGGUAGCAAUGCAAAUAUAUCUCAAAUGGGUCUGGAGACAGAGAGCCUUUGAUCUAGUGUCCAGCUCUGUGUUGCCACUUCACUUGGUAUCUUGAUCCUGAAUUCAUCCCAACUUGAAAUUGGUUUACUUGUAAAAUAUUUUAGGAUAUGCUAGUUUUACUCUGCCUAAUUGUGUUUUCCUCAUCAGGUGAAUUUUAGUAGCUGCUGUCAUUAAUUUCUGAAGUUGGAAAUUAAAUAUAUCUAUGUGUGAGUGCAAAUUUCAGUUGAUGGGACUUUCCUAUCCUUCACCUUUAUUUUUGCUUUUGUGAAAACUGUUAAAAGCUUUGGUCAGAAAUUGCAAGAAGCAAGUUAGUCAAGAGGUGAAACCCCCACAAACUCUUUUACAUUUGUUUGGGUUACUUUUGUAUCAUUUUAGAUUUAGAACCAUCUUAUUUUAGUUACUACUCUAAUAAGAAAUGGAAAAGAUAUGGAUUUUCAUAUCCCAUAGACUUUUAUUGUGAGGUGAUAGUGUCAUGGAAAUCAGCAGAACCUUUUCCAUUUUUUUGCAUCCUUCUGAGUGCAAACACUAAAUGUGUUGAACAAAUAGAUCAUUCUAAAAGCCUUUAUUUGUCAAAGAAAGGAACAAUGACACAGACAAGCCUUAGCAAGAAUAGUUUUGCAUCUUGACUGAGCAGAAGUAACCCAACUGGAGAUGUAUCCCCUGAUGGAGGCAGUACAGAUCUUUUGACAAGGAAGCCUCAAGGUUCACCUUCUAUCAUCCAGGGCUGGAUGUGAGAUUCUCAAAUGCCUCUUUUGGCCAAAAGUGGUGGGGAAGAUAGCAAAUUUCCAAGAGUGCAAGAAUGGAGAAGAAUGGCUCUGCAGGCAUGGUUAGAGGUACAUGAGGUCUUCUUGGA